This is a long non-coding RNA of Macaca fascicularis (crab-eating macaque), 5457 nucleotides long. The record is from Ensembl. NCBI's taxonomy places the organism in Eukaryota, Metazoa, Chordata, Mammalia, Primates, Cercopithecidae.
UUUUUUUUUUUUUUUUUUUUUUAACCAAAUUGGUAAGAGUGAAAUUCCAUAAACUCCAGGUCCUUGCAAGUUCACCAGCCCAUGCCCAAUUACUCCAGGGAAAAGGUCUGGGUAGCUUAUUCCUUCAUCUCCACAACUAACUGACAUCACCACACCGUGAGUUUGGCUCAGGCUUCUUGAAAACCACUAGGUCACUGUGGUGUUGGGGAGGAAGGUGAGAUCAAAUUUGUCAAAUGUUUGCUUGAAGAGCCCAAUAAGUUUGCAGGAUGUUCAGGUUUAUUUGGUGGUGACCACCUAUGCCAGUCCAGAGACAGUGGCUGUUAUUGCUGGAGGACAGGUGAGAAUGGCAUCUCACAUUCACCUAACAGUGCUCUCACCUUGGCUUGCUUUGAACCAGUAAGCAAGCAAGGCAAAUGAUAUACAUGAGAUUAGAAUAUAGAUUUGUGGCUGCAACAAGUGGGAGGUUCUCUCAGAGUCUGGGGAUCUCACCCUCCCAGAGGAAUGAAUCAGUAGGUCAGAGCAGCUCUGAAUGUGGGCUCACUCUCUACUUUUCACAUUUCCGGCUUGAUGAGGUAAGGGGUAACACGCAGUCAAGAGUCUGUCCUAACACGAUAAAAUAAAUGUUUUCUGUGCCACAAUCAGAUAACUAAGUUAUUUCUUUGUAUCAUUUCUUGCUACAUAAUUGGGCCAAGUUGAAGUCUGGUGCAGAAGACAGACUAUGGUCUACUAAAGACAGGAAUUUUGUUUUUGAGUGAACAACCCACUUUAGACCAACUUUGGUGGUAGCAAAGAUUGUCUACCCAGGAAUAUUUAGGGAGGCUUGUGCAGAUCUGUGAAGAUGGGCAGAACUCCCAUCUUCACCUGUCCUUUGCUUCACAUAAAAGAGAAUCAGUUGGGAGGCUGAGACGGGUGGAUCACGAGGUCAGGAGAUCGAGACCAUCCUGGGUAACAUGGUGCACGGUGAAACCCCGUCUCUACUAAAAAAUACAAAAAACUAGCCGGGCGAGGUGGCGGGCGCCUGUAGUCCCAGCUACUCGGGAGGCUGAGGCAGGAGAAUGGCGUGAACCCGGGACGCGGAGCUUGCAGUGAGCUGAGAUCUGGCCACUGCACCCCAGCCUGGGCGACAGAGCGAGACUCCGUCUCAAAAAAAAAAAAAAGAGAAUCAGGUGAAGUCAAAUGAUGACAAGGACUGGGGCUAGACUACUGCUCCUAACUCAAGAUACAGACCUUUUUAAAGGAAGAGAUCUUUUGAUCUCUAUCUUAGUUUGGGUUCUCCCAAAAGCAGAUCCUGGGGCAAGAAUUUAAGUGCAAGUAGAUUAUUUAGGGAAAACCAGUACGGGAGUGGAGUUAUAAGGAAAGGAAGUGAGCCAAUAAAAUGUGCACAAUUAAGCCAGCUACUGUUGAAUGAGCAGAGAUAUAGCCCCUGGAUUAUCCCACCUUGUUGAUGAAGAGGUUGUUAUUUACAAACUCAGUCACUGACUGAAGACUGCUCCCUGAGGGAGUGUUAAUUCCCCAGAAUUCCUAGCCUGCCACACAUGGACGGGGUGCAGAAAAUGCCUUCGAAUGCGGAGAUGCACGUAUCAAAAAUUGAAAGUACACAGGAGCACAGUGAUUUUGAGAGAAAUGGGAAAUGGAUAUUAUUAUAUACUAAUAUACCUAGAAGAGACAUAAAACUUGACUAGGUAAGGAGUCGUCAGGGCUUUGCACCAGCAGCAUCCCUGGAAAGAAUGUGCAGUGAUUUUCAGGGUUCAUGGUGGAUUGACUCUCCAACAGCUCUCACAGGAUGCAGGGUAAGGUAUUUAUUUAAAUAGAAAAAUAAAGUCAGCUAAUGGGUUUGAUAAGGAUAUGGGCUCUACCAUAAAUAUGACUUAAAUUUGCAGCUACAAAAUUUUAAUGAAAAUAUAUUUAAAGCACAUAAACAAAACACCAUGUGCUAGAAAUUCCAUUCUUUGCAAUUAAUAUACUACAUAAAAAUUUAGCAUUUUAAAGUAAGUAUGCAUAAAAGGGUCUUAAAUUUUUUUUUAGUUAAAAUUUAGAAGCCAUAUGAGCAAAAAUAGCUUAUAAUUGUCUUACAAUUAUGUGAGCUACUCAAUAUCCUUUUAAAAAGGAGAAUAAGAUUCAGAGGUUAGGUAGCUGGGUGGCAGGUGUCAAAUGCACAGUAAAACUGGGUCAGCCAGCUUUGAACCUUCGAACACUACUGUCAAACAAUCAGACUGAAGCUUCUGACCCAACACACAGUGACACUGCCCACUGUGCCCUGGAUGUCACCACAUGCAUCAAUGGCAUCCUCCUUUAUGAAUUUGCUCUUGCUACAACUGGUGUGACCAUCAGAGUUGUUUCUCUACAGGAUUUGCUGCUAUGCAGCACCAGUCCUCAAUUCAGUAACUGUGGUAGUCAUAAGCAGAGCCUAGGCCUCUUUCACUGCAAGAAACAUCAGAAAAAAAGUGCCUGAUAUAUUGAGCUCUAUCACCAAAACUUGUAUAAUAGGGAACUCUCAAGAAAUAAAAAGACUGAUGUUAAGCAGCCAAAAGGCAAUGACUAAUGUCCCCAACAAAUAGCUGUCUUUAAUUAGAUUUAUCUUUUUGUUUUCAAAAAAUCUCUACUGAGAUUUUGUUUCAAUUCAUUGCAUUAUUUUGACAUGUUGGUGAUUUUCAAUUUAGUUUCUGGUGCAUAUGUUAAAAUGCAGACCAUUCUUUAUUUUUGAUCAUGCCACAUGCAUGAAAAAUUCCUUAGGUGAGUUAUUAUCACUGGGGUAAAGUCUUGGAAAAGUUCCUACAUAUUCUUUUUGUUAUUGUUUUUCAUUUCUUUUCCUGCAUAUCCUUGAUAGAAAUUCUAAAUACAAUAGGAAGUAGGGUAGGUAGGGAGGAAACAAUACAGGCUUUCUCUGAAGUCCUCUGAGGUUUUGUUAUGUCUGUUUAUUCUCAGUGCAAAAGGUCAUGUUCAGAAAAAUGGAAGAAUCAUAUCUCAAAGCUAGUCAAAAAUGGGCAUUAUGAGAAUACAUGAGGUUGGUCAGAAUGAUGAAUUUGGUAAUAUAAAAGCUCUGGAAAUCUCAUUUGUUAACAUUAGAGAACAGGGGUCUGCAAACUUUCUGUAAAGAGCCUAAUAAUAAAUAUUUUAGGUCUUGUGGGCCUCUGUUGCAAUUAUUCAGCUCUGCUGUUGUAGCCCCAAAGCAGCCAUAGAUGAUAUACAAAUUAAUGGUUGUGGUUGUGUGCCAAUAAUAUUUACUAACAGAAUGAUUUCCUUAAGGUUUGUAGUUUGCCAACCCCUGUAAUAGAAAAUAGUAAUAAUACAGAUACUUAAUAUUAAAGAAAUGGAAAAAAUGCAACAGAGGCAGAAAAGUGUCGAAUCUGUCUCUUCCUCUUUGUAAAGAGUUAGGCCCAGGAGUCUGAAGAAAAAGUCACAACUGCUCAAAUCUGAAUAACCUUAAGUGAUCCUUUGUCUAUAUAUGUUCUUUAUUUCUUGACACUACUGUGAAUUCUUCUUGGGCAACAAUCUCAAUGGCAGUACAGUACAUUGGAGCUUGACUGUCUAGGUUCAAAGACUGGCUCUGUUAAUUACCAACAAAAUGACUUCUGGCAAGAGACAAAACCUAAAGAAAAAACCAGCAGAAACCACUGGACUGACAGAGGUGUGGAACACAGUAGGUACUUGACGAAGAUGACUUAAGAUUUAGGUAAAGACUGAACAUGUACCACUCCUACUUGUCAUGACAGUGGAGCAUCCACUUCAUAAGAAUGACAGUAUAAUGAGAAAAACACACAAAUGAAAUAAUACUUUGAAGAAACUCACCUUUUACUUAAUAUCACCACAGAGGAAAUUCUGGGUGGAAGUUUAGAAUUCAGAAAGACUUUGUGCCACAGAGAAAGACUGCCACGAGCAAUAGUACUUAAGUUGCUUAGAAUGAAUAAAAAAUAUUCAAAAUCUCCUAUGUACAGUAUAGACACUUUCUCGGUGACUUUGGUCAGUGACUUUUAUCCAGGAAGACAAUAAAUUAAGAGGUUGCAUACGUGUAUCACUUUUUAUUCCUUCCAUAACAAAUCGCCACAAACUUAGUGGCUUGAAACAACAAAACUUUAUCAACUUACAAUUCUGUAAGUCUGAUAUAGGUCUGACUGGACUUACAUCAAGGUGUUAGCAGAAUGUAUGCCUUUCUGGAGGCUCUAGGGAAGAAUCCAUUUCCUGCUUACUUAGAUUUUGGCAGAAUUCAGUUUCUUGCUGUUGUAGGACCAAGAUCCCUGUUUUCUUGCUGUCUAUAAACUAGGAGCUGUUCUCAGCUUCUAAAGAUAACCACAUUUCUUGGCUCAUAGCCCUCUUCCUCCAACUUCAGAGCCCAUCAACAGCAGGACAAGUCUUUUCAUGUCACAUCUCUCAGACCCACUCUUCUGAUUCCCUCUUCCGCAUUUAAUGACUCAUGACUAGACGGGUAAUCCAGAGUAAUCCACCUGAGUAAUCCAGAAUAACCUCACCAUCUCGAGGUCUUUACCCUCAAUCACAUUUGAAAAGUGCUGUUUGUCAUGUAAAGUAACAAUCACAGUUACCAGGGAAUAGGAUGUGGACAUCUUUGGGGAUCAGUGGGGGUAGGAGAGAUUAUUCUACCUUCCACAAUAUUCUAGUUGCCUUUCCUAUUCUUCCCAUCGGUAGUGACAUCUGAAAAAUGUCAACCUACCUUUGAGUAUUUGGACUCAAAGGUAUAUAUAUUCCUUGAGAUGUCUGAAAAAGUCUACAUACAAUUGCAAUGAUAUAUCCAUGGAUAUGCGCCAAUCAUAUGUACAUAUAAACUCAAAAUUCUGUCUUUCAAGUAGAACAGUUACUUUUAUUAAUUAUUGUAAGACGCGCUGAACUAGAAUCCAGGAGGCCUUGAUUGUAGGUUCUACUAUGUAACCCUAAAAGAGUCACUGAACUUAUUUGGGACUCAGUUUCCUAAUCCACAUGACACAGAAUGUAAACUUGAAAAUUCCUAGAUUCCCUUUUAGCUCUAAAUAUCUGUGAUCCAUGGUCUGAAAGAAAAAGGGUGGAGGUGGGAGAGUCAUUCUGCUUUGUUACAAAAAUGAAACAAAACUUAUAUAAUGAGAAUUUAUCAGAAAUAAGGGAAAGCUCUGAUAUUUUUUCUGCCUCACAUGUUUUCAAUUAAAUUAAAAAAAAUAUUUAGGGGGUACAAGUGCAGGUUUCUUACAUGCAUAUAUGAAAUCUGGGCUUUUAGUGCACACGUCACCUGAGUAGUGAACAUUGUACACAAUAAGUAAUUUUCAACCCUCAUUUGCUCCCCAUGUGUUUUAAUGUAAUUUCAGGCAUUUGCUUUCCAUUGAUCACUCAGGGUUAUUUAUGUUUAGCUUUUGUCAAUAUAAUUCUUAUACUUCACUCUCACUAUUCUAUUUGCAUUUCUAUACCUUCUUACAUUAUUCAUCUCUCAUUGCCUAACCUCAGUAUUGUUCUCCAAAAAAAAAAAAACAAAAAAAC